RNAcentral lists this ribosomal RNA (492 nucleotides) under uncultured bacterium. RNAcentral's name for it is "partial 16S ribosomal RNA". It matches the Rfam family "Bacterial small subunit ribosomal RNA", at positions 30 to 507 of the family's 1533-position model. The record is from RNAcentral.
AUUGAACGCUGGCGGCAUGCUUUACACAUGCAAGUCGAACGGUAACAGGCCUUCGGGUGCUGACGAGUGGCGAACGGGUGAGUAAUGCAUCGGAACGUGCCCAGAGGUGGGGGAUAACGCAGCGAAAGCUGUGCUAAUACCGCAUGUGAUCUGAGGAUGAAAGCGGGGGACCAAGCAGCAAUGUUUGGCCUCGCGCCUCUGGAGCGGCCGAUGUCAGAUUAGGUAGUUGGUGGGGUAAAGGCCUACCAAGCCGACGAUCUGUAGCUGGUCUGAGAGGACGACCAGCCACACUGGGACUGAGACACGGCCCAGACUCCUACGGGAGGCAGCAGUGGGGAAUUUUGGACAAUGGGCGCAAGCCUGAUCCAGCGAUGCCGCGUGCGGGAAGAAGGCUUUCGGGUUGUAAACCGCUUUUGUACGGAACGAAAAGGCUCUGGCUAAUACCUGGAGCUGAUGACGGUACCGUAAGAAUAAGCACCGGCUAACUACGUG